This 261-nucleotide long non-coding RNA is filed under the name Homo sapiens (human). RNAcentral's name for it is "HSALNT0051131". Lineage: Eukaryota; Metazoa; Chordata; Mammalia; Primates; Hominidae. The record is from RNAcentral.
CAGAUUGGCUGCUCAGAGGCCCCUCAGGCUGUACUCAAGCUGAUUUGAAUGGCAAAGAACCUCUGUGGGGAAACUAGCCAGUGCAAAAGCCCAGAGGUGGAGUUAGGAAAUAGCUGGUGAGACAGAAGCCUCAGGAGACCUCGCAGCAGGGAUUUAUGUUGGGGAAGAUGAUGGGGCAGAGAGGAAGCCAAAGACCAGUGAGGAGGCAGUGGUGUGGGCCAGGCUCAAUAAAGGAUGGCUGCUUCUGCUGUUUCCUACUUU